ACUCAAAUGAAUUGACGGGGACUUGCACAAGCAGUGGAUUAUGUGGUUUAAUUCGAUGGUAAACGAAGAACCUCACCAGGGUUUGAAACCUAGUUGAAUCGUAUGGAAACAUACGCGUCUCACAAGGACAAUUAGGCAGGUGAUGCAUGGCCGUCGUCAGUUCGUGGUUUGAAUUGUUCCCUUAAGUGGGGUAACGAACGCAACCCUCGUUGCCAGUUACAAGUGUCUGGCGAGACUGCCCCCGCAUCAAAAUUUAAUUUCUCCAAAAGAGAAAUUGAGUCGUGAUGCGGGGGAGGAAGGCGAGGAUGACGCCAGGUCAGCAUGUCCCUCUGAUACCCUGGGCUACACACAUAAUACAAUCGCAUCGACAACGCGACGCAAAGUGGUAACACGGAGCAAAUCGUAAGAAACGGUGCGCCAGUUCGGAUUGGGGUCUGCAACUCGACCCCAUGAAGCCGGAAUUGCUAGUAAUCGCGGGUCAGCUAUACCGCGGUGAAUACGUUCUCAAGUCUUGUACACACCGCCCGU
This 528-nucleotide ribosomal RNA is filed under the name uncultured bacterium. Its description in RNAcentral is "partial 16S ribosomal RNA". It matches the Rfam family "Bacterial small subunit ribosomal RNA", at positions 899 to 1397 of the family's 1533-position model. The record is from RNAcentral.